Molecule: long non-coding RNA, 657 nt
Organism: Onychostruthus taczanowskii (white-rumped snowfinch)
Lineage: Eukaryota; Metazoa; Chordata; Aves; Passeriformes; Passeridae
Exons: 2
Source: RefSeq, a predicted model, not a curated record
UCCUGCAGGACCCGCUCCCCGCGGCAGGAGCAGUUGACGUGGCCCUUGGGGGUGAGCAGGCACAGGUCCUGGCAGCCACCGUUGUUCACCCGGCACGGGGACAGCUCACCUAGGACAGAGGGACAGUGGUCACACCAGGGUUGCUCCAAGCUCCAUCCAACCUGUCCUAGGAUACUUCACAGAAUACUUGAGGUUGGAAAAGAUCUCCAAGAUCAAGUCCAAUCUGUGACCAAACCCCUCCAGAGCAUUCAGUGCCACACCCAGCAGUUACAUCUAAGGAUGGUGACUCCAUCAUGAACCUGGACAUCCCCUUCCAACGUUUAAUAACCCUUUCCAUAAAGAAAUUCCUUCUCAUGUCCAACCUGAACCUCCUCUGAUGCAGCCUGAAGCCAUGUCCUCACUUCUCAGGGGCACAGCCCAACUGGGGGCAGGAGGAACCUGCGGUGGGACGCAUCCCACAGCCCCCCACACACCAGAGUAGGGGGUGCCUGACCUCCCCAGCCUCAGGAACAGCUCUGCUUCCCUCUGACCACACUCCAGCCCCAGUUUGGACACCCUCCUCCCCAUCUCCCUGGCCUCAGACUCACAUGGCGAUGGGAGCCAUCGUAUUCGCAGCGCUCGAUCUUGUCCAGGGUGGCAUCAGAGAAAUAAAUCUUC